Molecule: ribosomal RNA, 756 nt
Filed under: uncultured Neisseriaceae bacterium
Lineage: Bacteria; Pseudomonadati; Pseudomonadota; Betaproteobacteria; Neisseriales; Neisseriaceae
Description: bacterial SSU rRNA
Rfam family: Bacterial small subunit ribosomal RNA
Source: RNAcentral
AUUGAACGCGGCGGCAUGCUUUACACAUGCAAGUCGGACGGCAGCAUAAAAGAGCUUGCUCUUUGAUGGCGAGUGGCGAACGGGUGAGUAAUGCAUCGGAACGUACCGAGUAGUGGGGGAUAACUGUCCGAAAGGAUGGCUAAUACCGCAUAUUCUCUGAGGAGGAAAGCAGGGGACCUUAGGGCCUUGCGCUAUUUGAGCGGCCGAUGUCUGAUAGCUAGUUGGUGGGGUAAGAGCCCACCAAGGCGACGAUCAGUAGCGGGUCUGAGAGGAUGAUCCGCCACACUGGGACUGAGACACGGCCCAGACUCCUACGGGAGGCAGCAGUGGGGAAUUUUGGACAAUGGGCGCAAGCCUGAUCCAGCCAUGCCGCGUGUAUGAAGAAGGCCUUCGGGUUGUAAAGUACUUUUGUCAGGGAAGAAAAGCCUGAGGAUAACACCCUCAGGUCAUGACGGUACCUGAAGAAUAAGCACCGGCUAACUACGUGCCAGCAGCCGCGGUAAUACGUAGGGUGCGAGCGCUAAUCGGAAUUACUGGGCGUAAAGCGAGCGCAGACAGUUAUUUAAGCAAGAUGUGAAAGCCCCGGGCUCAACCUGGGAACUGCGUUUUGAACUGGGUAACUAGAGUGUGUCAGAGGGGGGUAGAAUUCCACGUGUAGCAGUGAAAUGCGUAGAGAUGUGGAGGAAUACCGAUGGCGAAGGCAGCCCCCUGGGAUAACACUGACGUUCAUGCUCGAAAGCGUGGGUAGCAAACAGG